Molecule: ribosomal RNA, 464 nt
Filed under: uncultured bacterium
Lineage: Bacteria
Description: partial 16S ribosomal RNA
Rfam family: Bacterial small subunit ribosomal RNA
Source: RNAcentral
CUACGGGACGCAGCAGUGGGGAAUAUUGGACAAUGGGCGAAAGCCUGAUCCAGCAAUGCCGCGUGUGUGAAGAAGGCCUGCGGGUUGUAAAGCACUUUCAAUUGUGAAGAAAAGCCUGGUGUUAAUACCACCGGGUCUUGACGUUAACUUUAGAAGAAGCACCGGCUAACUCCGUGCCAGCAGCCGCGGUAAUAGGGAGGGUGCGAGCGUUAAUCGGAAUUACUGGGCGUAAAGCGCACGUAGGCGGUUUGGUCAGUCAGAUGUGAAAGCCCCGGGCUCAACCUGGGAACUGCAUUUGAUACUGCCGAACUAGAAUGUGGUAGAGGGAAGUGGAAUUCCAGGUGUAGCGGUGAAAUGCGUAGAUAUCUGGAGGAACAUCAGUGGCGAAGGCGGCUUCCUGGACCAACAUUGACGCUGAGGUGCGAAAGCGUGGGUAGCAAACAGGAUUAGAUACCCCCGUAGUC